This 320-nucleotide ribosomal RNA is filed under the name uncultured Planctomycetota bacterium. RNAcentral's name for it is "bacterial SSU rRNA". It matches the Rfam family "Bacterial small subunit ribosomal RNA", at positions 29 to 351 of the family's 1533-position model. Lineage: Bacteria; Pseudomonadati; Planctomycetota. The record is from RNAcentral.
AAUGAACGUUGGCGGCGUGGAUUAGGCAUGCAAGUCGAGCGAGAACCCGCAAGGGGGACAGCGGCGAACGGGGUAGGACAACGUAGGUAACGUACCCUCGGGGCGAGGACAGCCACGGGAAACUGUGGGUAAUACUCGAUAAUGUUCCCAAUCGUGAUGGAAGGGGAACCAAUGGGUGUGAUUCCACCUGAGGAGCGGCUUACGCAGUAUCAGCUUGUUGGUGAGGUAACGGCUCACCAAGGCUAUGACGCUUAGGGGAUGUGAGAGCAUGAUCCCCACCACUGGCACUGAGACACUGGCCAGACACCUACGGGUGGCAG